UACAGAGGGGGCAAGCGUUGUUCGGAAUUACUGGGCGUAAAGGGCGCGUAGGCGGCCUGUUAAGUCGAACGUGAAAUCCCUGGGCUCAACCCAGGAACUGCGUCCGAUACUGGUUGGCUUGAAUCCGGGAGAGGGAUGCGGAAUUCCAGGUGUAGCGGUGAAAUGCGUAGAUAUCUGGAGGAACACCGGUGGCGAAGGCGGCAUCCUGGACCGGCAUUGACGCUGAGGCGCGAAAGCCAGGGGAGCAAACGGG
Molecule: ribosomal RNA, 253 nt
Filed under: uncultured bacterium
Lineage: Bacteria
Description: partial 16S ribosomal RNA
Rfam family: Bacterial small subunit ribosomal RNA
Source: RNAcentral